RNAcentral lists this ribosomal RNA (490 nucleotides) under Kodamaea ohmeri. RNAcentral's name for it is "eukaryotic LSU rRNA". It matches the Rfam family "Eukaryotic large subunit ribosomal RNA", at positions 37 to 525 of the family's 3401-position model. The record is from RNAcentral. Lineage: Eukaryota; Fungi; Ascomycota; Pichiomycetes; Serinales; Debaryomycetaceae.
UGCAUAUCAAUAAGCGGAGGAAAAGAAACCAACAGGGAUUGCCUCAGUAACGGCGAGUGAAGCGGCAAAAGCUCAAAUUUGAAAUCCCCCCGGGGAGUUGUAAUUUGAAGAUUGCGUCUUGGAGGCGACCGUGUCUAUGUUCCUUGGAACAGGACGUCACAGAGGGUGAGAAUCCCGUGCGGCACGGCCCCCGGCUCCUUAUAAGGCGCUCUCGACGAGUCGAGUUGUUUGGGAAUGCAGCUCAAAGUGGGUGGUAAAUUCCAUCUAAAGCUAAAUACAGGCGAGAGACCGAUAGCGAACAAGUACAGUGAUGGAAAGAUGAAAAGCACUUUGAAAAGAGAGUGAAACAGCACGUGAAAUUGUUGAAAGGGAAGGGCAUGCCGUCAGAUUGUCAGUGUGGGUAAGAAGCGGGGUACAAAGACUGUGGAACGUGGCCCUCGGGUGUUAUAGCCGCAGUUCAUGCCCCGUCUCUUUCCGAGGCCUGCUUUGA